This 528-nucleotide ribosomal RNA is filed under the name Fusarium oxysporum. Its description in RNAcentral is "eukaryotic LSU rRNA". It matches the Rfam family "Eukaryotic large subunit ribosomal RNA", at positions 75 to 626 of the family's 3401-position model. The record is from RNAcentral. Lineage: Eukaryota; Fungi; Ascomycota; Sordariomycetes; Hypocreales; Nectriaceae.
UUGCCCUAGUAACGGCGAGUGAAGCGGCAACAGCUCAAAUUUGAAAUCUGGCUCUCGGGCCCGAGUUGUAAUUUGUAGAGGAUACUUUUGAUGCGGUGCCUUCCGAGUUCCCUGGAACGGGACGCCAUAGAGGGUGAGAGCCCCGUCUGGUUGGAUGCCAAAUCUCUGUAAAGUUCCUUCAACGAGUCGAGUAGUUUGGGAAUGCUGCUCUAAAUGGGAGGUAUAUGUCUUCUAAAGCUAAAUACCGGCCAGAGACCGAUAGCGCACAAGUAGAGUGAUCGAAAGAUGAAAAGCACUUUGAAAAGAGAGUUAAAAAGUACGUGAAAUUGUUGAAAGGGAAGCGUUUAUGACCAGACUUGGGCUUGGUUAAUCAUCUGGGGUUCUCCCCAGUGCACUUUUCCAGUCCAGGCCAGCAUCAGUUUUCCCCGGGGGAUAAAGGCGGCGGGAAUGUGGCUCUCUUCGGGGAGUGUUAUAGCCCACCGUGUAAUACCCUGGGGGGGACUGAGGUUCGCGCAUCUGCAAGGAUGC